CCUUGUACACACCGCCCGUCACACCAUGGGGGUGGGUUUCACCAGAAGUAGGUAGCCUAACCGCAAGGAGGGCGCUUACCACGGUGAGAUUCAUGACUGGGGUG
This 104-nucleotide ribosomal RNA is filed under the name uncultured bacterium. RNAcentral's name for it is "partial 16S ribosomal RNA". It matches the Rfam family "Bacterial small subunit ribosomal RNA", at positions 1379 to 1482 of the family's 1533-position model. The record is from RNAcentral.